RNAcentral lists this ribosomal RNA (515 nucleotides) under uncultured bacterium. Its description in RNAcentral is "partial 16S ribosomal RNA". It matches the Rfam family "Bacterial small subunit ribosomal RNA", at positions 28 to 523 of the family's 1533-position model. The record is from RNAcentral.
GAUGAACGCUGGCGGCGUGCCUAAUACAUGCAAGUCGAGCGAAUGGAUUAAGAGCUUGCUCUUAUGAAGUUAGCGGCGGACGGGUGAGUAACACGUGGGUAACCUGCCCAUAAGACUGGGAUAACUCCGGGAAACCGGGGCUAAUGCCGGAUAACAUUUUGAACCGCAUGGUUCGAAAUUGAAAGGCGGCUUCGGCUGUCACUUAUGGAUGGACCCGCGUCGCAUUAGCUAGUUGGUGAGGUAACGGCUCACCAAGGCAACGAUGCGUAGCCGAGCUGAGAGGGUGAUCGGCCACACUGGGACUGAGACACGGCCCAGACUCCUACGGGAGGCAGCAGUAGGGAAUCUUCCGCAGUGGACGAAAGUCUGACGGAGCAACGCCGCGUGAGUGAUGAAGGCUUUCGGGUCGUAAAACUCUGUUGUUAGGGAAGAACAAGUGCUAGUUGAAUAAGCUGGCACCUUGACGGUACCUAACCAGAAAGCCACGGCUAACUACGUGCCAGCCGCCGCGGUAA